AAAAUCUAGCUUGAAUCAUCAGAAGGACCCGUCCGCAGAAUCCCUGAAGAAGGUUCAGUUUGCUGAAUUCAACAAGAAUGAAGAGAAGAACAUCAAUACUCAGGCUGAGGCAUAUAUCAACCAGAAGCACAAGAAUUUUGAGCUACACAAAUGGAGGACCUUCAAAGUAUCAUGUUAAAUGGUUUCAAUCUUGUUGGCUGCAGGCAGCUGUGUGGCACUGGUGUUCUGCAAUAACCUACAUAAUAUGUUACUCAGCGUUUGCACCCCACAAGAAGAAGGAGAAAAUAUUCUGGCACUGGUGCUCUUCAAUAACCUACGUAAUAUGUUACUCUGCGUUUGUAUCCCACAAAAAUAAGGGGAAUUUUUUUUUCAAGAUAUCGUUCAUGUUUAUCUUAUAUUUCCUAUAGAGAGUAGUACAUUUGCACUGUGAUUUGUUCUAUCUAAUAAAAUGUUGUCUGUUUACUUUUCUGCUAACACUUCUAUUGGCGGUUUUUCUGAGUCUACGGCUUUUUAUCAUUUGCCUUCAUAAUUAUGAGAAUAAAGCUACGCAUAAAUGUGUCCUAAUAUCAUUUCAUCAAGGAAGUAGAUUGACAAGCUCAGUGGCUGAAAGCAUUCACCCUCAGCAUAUCUAACCUCCUGUUUGAUUUAGACAACAAACUUCAACACCAAGCAGAAGCCUUUUCUUCUCCUUAUUUAGACCCCUUCUAACACCUUCCAUAUUCU
Molecule: long non-coding RNA, 723 nt
Filed under: Nicotiana benthamiana
Lineage: Eukaryota; Viridiplantae; Streptophyta; Magnoliopsida; Solanales; Solanaceae
Description: long non-coding RNA (NBEN_LNC023471)
Source: RNAcentral